This 1134-nucleotide long non-coding RNA is filed under the name Equus caballus (horse). RNAcentral's name for it is "lncRNA (ENSECAG00000056779.1)". The record is from RNAcentral. Lineage: Eukaryota; Metazoa; Chordata; Mammalia; Perissodactyla; Equidae.
UUUGUUUUUUAAAGUACUGUCAACUCUUGGAUUUAAACACCUUUGAUGGUUUUCAGUCCACUGAAAUUAUUAUCCUUAUCAAAGCUCACAUUGUCCCAUUUCUGGCCAGUGGAAGCCUCUCUUCAAUUUUAGCUCUUGAGUCCUGUUUAUACAACCCCAGUCAUCUUUGAUAGCUUCCUUGCUUUCUGGUAUAACAAGAUGUCCCAUCCCUGAACCCACCAUUUCUCUAAAUAGCUGAGGAGAUGAGUUUUAAUCAGGAGCUUGUCUGGUUUUACCUGCCAACCUCAUCCUUGCCCAUAAACCUUCGUUAAUUCAAUUGCUGAUCAUUUUCUGCAGUUCCAGGGCAAGCUUCUGUGGCCACCUUGAGAGGCAGGGAUACCUACUGCUCUUGUUACUGAACCGGGUUUGUUUUUGCCCACCGCCCAGAAAGCCAAACACCGAGACGACAAGAUUGCAACAGAGAGAGAGUUUACUCACAAGGCAGCCACGUGAUUCUGGAGGCUGGGAAGUCCAAGAUCAAGUGCCGGCAGAUUCCAUGUCUGGCAAAAAAAAAAAGGAAAAGAAAAAGAACACCCAUCUCCCCUCAUGAAGCAGCAGCAUUUGUAGGCACAGUGUGGUCUAAAUCCAUUCUUGGAAAAUAAAUUUACCAAAGGAAACAUUCUGCAUGCAGAGAGGGGACAGCCCUGUUGUUAACUCUGGUGCACUCCGCUUCAGCGGCCCGGGUUCGCUGGUUCAGAUCCCAGACGUGGACCUACACCACUUGUCAAGCCAGGCUGUGGUGGUGAUCCACAUAAAAAAGAGAGGAGGAUUGACACAGAUCUGUAUCUUCCUCAAGCAAAAAAUGAGGAAGAUUGACAACAGAUGUUGGCUCAGAGAGAAUCUUCCUCACCAAAGAAAAAAAAUUGCUUUCCAGAAAGAUAUAUCAAUUUAUAUUUUCACCAUCAGCAUUCUAUUAGUACAACUGAGGAGGGGCAUCUUUUUACACAGUUAAUGGCCAUUUAUUUUUCUUCUGUGAAUUGCCUUCUCCUUUCUACCUAUUUUUCUAUUGUGUUAUUUGGUUUUUCCUUAUAUUUUUGUAAAAGUUCAUGCAUCUGUUCAUUAAUUCAUUAAGCCAAUAAAUAAAUAUUUGAUUAC